Molecule: ribosomal RNA, 614 nt
Filed under: Escherichia coli
Lineage: Bacteria; Pseudomonadati; Pseudomonadota; Gammaproteobacteria; Enterobacterales; Enterobacteriaceae
Description: bacterial SSU rRNA
Rfam family: Bacterial small subunit ribosomal RNA
Source: RNAcentral
GAGUAAUGUCUGGGAAACUGCCUGAUGGAGGGGGAUAACUACUGGAAACGGUAGCUAAUACCGCAUAACGUCGCAAGACCAAAGAGGGGGACCUUCGGGCCUCUUGCCAUCGGAUGUGCCCAGAUGGGAUUAGCUUGUUGGUGGGGUAACGGCUCACCAAGGCGACGAUCCCUAGCUGGUCUGAGAGGAUGACCAGCCACACUGGAACUGAGACACGGUCCAGACUCCUACGGGAGGCAGCAGUGGGGAAUAUUGCACAAUGGGCGCAAGCCUGAUGCAGCCAUGCCGCGUGUAUGAAGAAGGCCUUCGGGUUGUAAAGUACUUUCAGCGGGGAGGAAGGGAGUAAAGUUAAUACCUUUGCUCAUUGACGUUACCCGCAGAAGAAGCACCGGCUAACUCCGUGCCAGCAGCCGCGGUAAUACGGAGGGUGCAAGCGUUAAUCGGAAUUACUGGGCGUAAAGCGCACGCAGGCGGUUUGUUAAGUCAGAUGUGAAAUCCCCGGGCUCAACCUGGGAACUGCAUCUGAUACUGGCAAGCUUGAGUCUCGUAGAGGGGGGUAGAAUUCCAGGUGUAGCGGUGAAAUGCGUAGAGAUCUGGAGGAAUACCGGUGGCGA